This 28-nucleotide small RNA is filed under the name Bombyx mori (domestic silkworm). RNAcentral's name for it is "ovarian small RNA-36705". Lineage: Eukaryota; Metazoa; Arthropoda; Insecta; Lepidoptera; Bombycidae. The record is from RNAcentral.
UUAGAUAAUACAAAAGUGCGGUGUCUUC